RNAcentral lists this ribosomal RNA (1244 nucleotides) under 'Fragaria x ananassa' phyllody phytoplasma. RNAcentral's name for it is "bacterial SSU rRNA". It matches the Rfam family "Bacterial small subunit ribosomal RNA", at positions 153 to 1399 of the family's 1533-position model. The record is from RNAcentral. Lineage: Bacteria; Bacillati; Mycoplasmatota; Mollicutes; Acholeplasmatales; Acholeplasmataceae.
GAAACGACUGCUAAGACUGGAUAGGAGAUAAGAAGGCAUCUUCUUAUUUUUAAAAGACCUAGUAAUAGGUAUGCUUAAGGAAGGGCUUGCGUCACAUUAGUUAGUUGGUAGGGUAAAGGCCUACCAAGACGAUGAUGUGUAGCCGGGCUGAGAGGCUGAACGGCCACAUUGGAACUGAGACACGGUCCAAACUCCUACGGGAGGCAGCAGUAGGGAAUUUUCGGCAAUGGAGGAAACUCUGACCGAGCAACGCCGCGUGAACGAUGAAGUAUUUCGGUACGUAAAGUUCUUUUAUUAAGGAAGAAAAGAUGGUGGAAAAACCAUUAUGACGGUACUUAAUGAAUAAGCCCCGGCUAACUAUGUGCCAGCAGCCGCGGUAAUACAUAGGGGGCGAGCGUUAUCCGGAAUUAUUGGGCGUAAAGGGUGCGUAGGCGGUUUAAUAAGUUUAUGGUCUAAGUGCAAUGCUUAACAUUGUGAUGCUAUAAAAACUGUUUGACUAGAGUUGGAUAGAGGCAAGUGGAAUUCCAUGUGUAGUGGUAAAAUGCGUAAAUAUAUGGAGGAACACCAUGAGCGAAGGCGGCUUGCUGGGUCUUAACUGACGCUGAGGCACGAAAGCGUGGGGAGCAAACAGGAUUAGAUACCCUGGUAGUCCACGCUGUAAACGAUGAGUACUAGAUGUUGGGUUAAACCAGUGUCGAAGUUAACACAUUAAGUACUCCGCCUGAGUAGUACGUACGCAAGUAUGAAACUUAAAGGAAUUGACGGGACUCCGCACAAGCGGUGGAUCAUGUUGUUUAAUUCGAAGAUACCCGAAAAACCUCACCAGGUCUUGACAUGCUUCUGCAAAGCUGUAGAAAUACAGUGGAGGUUAUCAGUUGUACAGGUGGUGCAUGGUUGUCGUCAGCUCGUGUCGUGAGAUGUUGGGUUAAGUCCCGCAACGAGCGCAACCCUUGUUGUUAAUUGCCAUCAUUAAGUUGGGGACUUUAGCAAGACUGCCAGUGAUAAAUUGGAGGAAGGUGGGGAUGACGUCAAAUCAUCAUGCCCCUUAUGACCUGGGCUACAAACGUGAUACAAUGGCUGUUACAAAGGGUAGCUGAAGCGCAAGUUUUUGGCAAAUCUCAAAAAAACAGUCUCAGUUCGGAUUGAAGUCUGCAACUCGACUUCAUGAAGUUGGAAUCGCUAGUAAUCGCGAAUCAGCAUGUCGCGGUGAAUACGUUCGCGGGGUUUGUACACACCGCCCGUCA